Molecule: ribosomal RNA, 2113 nt
Filed under: Amblypygi sp. MCZ IZ-127057
Lineage: Eukaryota; Metazoa; Arthropoda; Arachnida; Amblypygi
Description: eukaryotic LSU rRNA
Rfam family: Eukaryotic large subunit ribosomal RNA
Source: RNAcentral
CCAACAGGGAUUCCCCUAGUAACGGCGAGCGAACGGGGAAGAGCCCAGCGCCGAAUUCCGCGUCCCGAGAGGGCGUCUGGAAAAUGUGGCGUUUACGAGGUUUCCUUCCGAGGGUGCGACGGCGUCGCAAGUCCCCCUGACCGGGGCUGUGACCCAGAGCGGGUGCGAGGCCCGUAGCUGACGCCGUCCCCUUCGGACGAGGCCUCUCGGGAGUCGGGCUGUUUGGGAGUGCAGCCCUAAAAGUGUGGUAAACUCCACAUAAGGCUAAAUACGGCCGUGAGACCGAUAGCAAACAAGUACCGUGAGGGAAAGUUGCAAAGAACUUUGAAGAGAGAGUUCAAGAGUACGUGAAACCGCUCAGAGGCAAACGGGUGGGCCCUCCAAAGCCGGUGGCGGGGGGAUUCAGUCGGGAGGCGGAGAGCCGAGGCCGGUCGAAUUGCACGGACCCGAACAGGCCGGGCCGACCGCGGGAGUCUCGUCGCUCUCCCGACGCACUUCCUCCCGCUCGACGGACGCCGCAACCGGUUGGACGUCGGCCAUGAGGGCGGACGCCGGAAGGUGGCCGGUGGUUGGGCCUUGCGCCCCGCCGCCGGUUGUUGUCCUGUCCGUCCGAGGCGCGACGGCCGACCGUGGUACUCGGCCCCGAAACCUCGGGCCUUGCCGUGCCCUGCACUCUUGAGAAGAGCAGCGGGCGGUCGGGCAGGCGUUUCUCCGCGACAACUGCACAGGUCGUCCCGCUCGAGUGGCGGGCGGCCCUCGGAGAGCGCCGUUGGUCCGACCCGGAGUUCACCCCGCGAGGGCGCAGGCGGUUGGCGGCGAGNNNNGGGACUUGCUUAGGCCCAAAGGCGCAAUGAAAGUGAAGGCCGGCCUCGGACGCCGGCCGAGUUGGGACCCCGUAGAUUUAUGUUACAGGUGUGCGGGGGCACCAACGACCCGUCCCGUCCGCAUCGUCGGUGGGGCGGAGUGUGAGCGUACACGUUGGGACCCGAAAGAUGGUGAACUAUGCCUGGGCAGGACGAAGCCAGAGGAAACUCUGGUGGAGGUCCGUAGCGAUUCUGACGUGCAAAUCGAUCGUCAGACCCGGGUAUAGGGGCGAAAGACUAAUCGAACCAUCUAGUAGCUGGUUCCCUCCGAAGUUUCCCUCAGGAUAGCUGGCGCUCGAACAGGGAAUCAGUCUCAUCCGGUAAAGCGAAUGAUUAGAGGCCUUGGGGCCGAAACGACCUCAACCUAUUCUCAAACUUUAAAUGGGUGAGAAGUCCGGCUUGCACGAGUGAAGCUCGGACGAGGCAGGAUGAGAGUGCCCAGUGGGCCACUUUUGGUAAGCAGAACUGGCGCUGUGGGAUGAACCAAACGCCGGGUUACGGCGCCCGAUGCGAGACGCUCACGAGAGCCCAUGAAAGGUGUUGGUUGCUAUAGACAGCAGGACGGUGGCCAUGGAAGUCGGAACCCGCUAAGGAGUGUGUAACAACUCACCUGCCGAAGCAACUAGCCCUGAAAAUGGAUGGCGCUGCAGCGUCGAGCCCAUACCCGGCCGCCGCGGCAGAGUGUAAGACGCCCCUGGAAUCGGCGGAUGUUUACGCCGCGGCGAGUAGGAGGGUCGCGGCGGCGAGCGUUGAAGGUGCCGGGCGCGAGCCCGCCUGGAGCCGCCGCCGGUGCAGAUCUUGGUGGUAGUAGCAAAUACUCAAGUGAGAACCUUGAGGACUGAGGUGGAGAAGGGUUCCAUGUGAACAGCAGUUGAACAUGGGUCAGUCGGUCCUAAGGGAUAGGAGAAAUCCGUUCCGAAGCGGGCGUGUAGGAUUGCUGAGAUCGCCCGCCGACCGACCGAAAGGGAAUCGGGUUAAUAUUCCCGAACCCGGACGCGGAGAUCGGCCCUUCGGGGCCAGGUGCGGCGACGCAACCGAACUCGGAGACGUCGACGGGAGUCCCGGGAAGAGUUGUCUUUUCUUUGUAAGGGCUCGGCUCCCUGGAAUCGGCUCGUCCGGAGAUAGGGAUGCUGUUCCCGUAAAGCACCGCGGCUCUUGCGGUGUCCGGAGCGCUCCCGUCGGCCCUUGAAAAUCCGAGGGAGGAAAUGAUUUUCGUGCCGGACCGUACCCAUAUCCGCAGCAGGUCUCCA